This 671-nucleotide long non-coding RNA is filed under the name Pan troglodytes (chimpanzee). RNAcentral's name for it is "long non-coding RNA NONPTRT009301". Lineage: Eukaryota; Metazoa; Chordata; Mammalia; Primates; Hominidae. The record is from RNAcentral.
GUAAGUCAGGGAGGGUAGCUGCACUCAGCAUGUCCCAGAGUCACCUUCAUCCUGGGAUGCGCCCUCUGAUUCUCAGAGUGAACAUUAAAAAUGGCAGACAAAACCAGGCACGGUGGCUUACGCCUGUAAUCCUAGCACUUUGGGAGGCCGAGGUGGGUGGAUCACCUGAGGUCAGGAGUUCAAGACCAGCCUGGCCAACAUGGUGAAACCCUGUCUCUACUAAAAAUACAAAAAUUAGCCAGGUGUGAUAGCAUACACCUGUAAUCCCAGGUACUCAAGAGGCUGAGACAGAAUAAUCUCUUGAACCCAAGAGGCAGAGUUUGCAGUGAGCCGAGAGGAUUUAAAGAGCUUAGGAAGCAUUUGACUGGAUACGACCAAUCAUAAAAGUUAUGAUGGGCUUUUUAAAUGAUAUAUGUCAUUAACAUGUUAAUUGGCAUGAAAUCUGAACUCGGAGCCAGAGAAAUCUUAGGUGAAUAUGAGGUCAACUCCAUUACAGGCAGUUUUAUAAUGAAAAUUCCAUAAAAGCAUUUUAAAUUUUACUCUGCAAUGUACGUUUUCCCAUUUAUGUUCAAUACAAUGAAAUUUUAGUCCUGCUGUUUUAAAAAAAGAAAAAGAAAAGGCCAUCCUUGAAAUGUUGAGGUGGUUAGCUCGAACUUGUAAUUGACUAGACA